Molecule: ribosomal RNA, 402 nt
Filed under: uncultured bacterium
Lineage: Bacteria
Description: partial 16S ribosomal RNA
Rfam family: Archaeal small subunit ribosomal RNA
Source: RNAcentral
ACACCGGCAGCUCAAGUGGUAGCCGCUUUUAUUGGGCCUAAAGCGUCCGUAGCCGGUCUGAUAAGUCUCUGGUGAAAUCCCGCAGCUUAACUGUGGGAAUUGCUGGAGAUACUAUCAUGACUCGAGGUCGGGAGAGGCUGGAGGUACUCCCAGGGUAGGGGUGAAAUCCUGUAAUCCUGGGAGGACCACCUGUGGCGAAGGCGUCCAGCUGGAACGAACCUGACGAUGAGGGACGAAAGCCAGGGGCGCGAACCGGAUUAGAUACCCGGGUAGUCCUGGCCGUAAACGAUGUGGACUUGGUGUUGGGAUGGCUUCGAGCUGCCCCAGUGCCGAAGGGAAGCUGUUAAGUCCACCGCCUGGGAAAUACGGCCGCAAGGCUGAAACUUAAAUGAAUUGGCGGGG